This 409-nucleotide unclassified non-coding RNA is filed under the name fungal sp. RNAcentral describes it as "partial internal transcribed spacer region". The stretch from base 1 to 46 matches the Rfam family "Eukaryotic small subunit ribosomal RNA", at positions 1786 to 1831 of the family's 1831-position model. The record is from RNAcentral. Lineage: Eukaryota; Fungi.
AAGUCGUAACAAGGUUUCCGUAGGUGAACCUGCGGAAGGAUCAUUCACACUUAAAAGGAGUCUGAGCAGUCACAUGCUUCAUUCUCUGAUUCUCCAAACUCAAACCCCAAUAUGCUAACGCUCCAAAAUAAGGCUCCCUUUGCUCUCUUCGGAGGACAAUGUAGGAGUAGUGCUUGUGGCUGAUGUGAGGACAGUGUCUUCGGACAUUGUUUUUCAUCUCCCGGGCAUGCCUAAUCAACUGAUUUUAUUACCCCCCGUCGUCGCUUGUGGAGCUUGCUCUGCUUGUGAUUGUCAUUCUGGACUAAGUCUGCUUCUCUUCGACUUAAGCACUCGAUGUAUGAAGCAUGUUCGACACAUACGCAACACUAGAGAAAGAAUACAACUCUUUGCAAUGGAUAUCUUGGUUCUC